UAUUUUUCAUUAAUUUUAGGUUUGAUUAUGGCCUGAAGUAAAAUUAAGAUGGUGUUAUCUAAUAGUGAUUCACUUAGUGGGCAAUGUUUUUCUACCCCGGCAGUUUGUCGUUUGUAAAGAUUUUGUUCCAGAAUAAUCGGCUAGACUUUAUAAGCUUGUACUCUAAUUGUUGUUAAUCUUGAAUUUUUAGGGUGUAACUUUUGAUUUUAUGGUGAAAUUGAAGAUUUUGUUUGUGUAUGUAUUUAAGAUUAUAAGAUUUAGCGAACGAACCAGAUUAGUACCUGGUUAGAUAAAAAUUAAAAGAGCAGGAGUAAAGUUGAAUUUAAACUGUAAUAAUAUUGGCAGGCUUUUAAAUUAUCUUUGGAGGCUGAGUAGUAAUUGAGAGCCCUCAUUUACAACUCUUAUUUUAGGCUCAUGUAUGAUCGUUUAUUUUAUUCUUAAGGAUUGUAAUUUUAGUUUUUAUCUGUUAAAAUAGAUAUAUACUUGGUUUAUAUAGGAGGCUAAUUUGGCCUACAAUGUUAUAUUUUUUGGAUAGUAUUAAUAGUUAGUACUUGAAAUUGUAAAAGACAGUAAAGCCUUUUUAAUGGGGGAUUGAAGUUUAUUUAAAAGCGGUACAAAUCAUCCAUCAAUUGCCUAUAGGGGAGUAAGUUGUAGUAAAGUAGAGGUAGGGGAACCUGUCUCUAAUAAUAUU
This 691-nucleotide non-coding RNA is filed under the name Contracaecum ogmorhini sensu lato Australia. The record is from RNAcentral. Lineage: Eukaryota; Metazoa; Nematoda; Chromadorea; Rhabditida; Anisakidae.